UUGGAUUGGUAGGAUUACAAUAGACCAGUAAUGUAGCAAAUAAACGCCUUAGGCUGUAUGACAUCUGAUAACUUGCUGCUUCAGACAUGCAUUCUAUCAAACUAUUAUCAUAAUGUAACAAUCCUCUUUUCUCCACGGACUCUCUAAAAAUACUACAAAGUUCUCCGUUUACUGUCAAAAGAUCGUUAUAUGAUUUCGGUCCGCGCACAUGCAAUAGUAGUAAUCUGAGAUAAUACCGUUCACCUUCUGUUGGAUGACACGUUACGAUUCGACCAAUUGCAGAGCGUUGUUUUCGAAGUGCCCAGAAUUUGUCACUCGAGGACCACACAAAGUAUUCAGAGAAUUCCUUGUAUAGUAAAUUCAGCUCAAUAGCUUCUUCAUCGGUUUGGUUCAUAGAGAAGAAUUCUGUUAACAUCGUUUUUUUUAUCAUAGGAUUGUUCACGAUCGUAUUUAUAUCAACAUUGCUCUUAAAGGAAACAAAUUGUUAGCCUUUAUAAUCAGUUUUAUGACACUAACUAUUAAAUCCAACUAUGAAUCUACAGUUAUCGCUUCAUAAAGGUAAAAUCAUUCCAACACUUUUAAAAGCAUAAACAGAUACAUCAACAUGACUGAACCCACCAAAUGAUUCAAGAACAACAUCAUCAACAACUUCAAAUAUCCCAGGAUUUUCUGGACGGAUGAGAAAGAAUGAUGCACGAAUAAUUUAAUCAGCUUAAACAAUUUAUAUGCAGCAGCUAUUCCAAAAAUCAAGAAAACAAGAAAGUAAAACUCACCUUAUACUGCAUAAUCAAGGCGAAUUAACUGUCCGGGAAGAGAGAAGACUAAAAGAAACAAGGGAAAUUGUAAGAAGAGGUGAGCGGCGGCGGAAAUUUUGAGGAAGAAACCAAGCGUAAAGACUGGGCAA
This 904-nucleotide long non-coding RNA is filed under the name Nicotiana tabacum (common tobacco). RNAcentral describes it as "long non-coding RNA (NTAB_LNC006861)". Lineage: Eukaryota; Viridiplantae; Streptophyta; Magnoliopsida; Solanales; Solanaceae. The record is from RNAcentral.